GCCCUCAGCUAACCUCCUCUCCAACUCCUGUGCUUUCUCCUUAGUCAAAACAUCUCAUCUAAUCCGCUGUUGUCCCCGAGCACCCCUCCUCUUCCUCUUUACCCAGAGACCGACAUCCAUCACUAGGAGUCUAUGAAAAGUCGAAAGGGACUCUCCCGGAAUAACCUUGCAGUCCUUGCACAUACCCCUAUCGCUCCUUCUGAGGAGGAUGUAAUCAAUCUGAGUCCUCNNNNNNNNNNNNNNGAGUCUAUAAAGAGUCGAAAGGGACUCUCCCGGAAUAACCUUGCAGUCCUUGCACAUACCCCUAUCGCUCCUUCUGAGGAGGAGGUAAUCAAUCUGAG
Molecule: long non-coding RNA, 341 nt
Filed under: Nicotiana benthamiana
Lineage: Eukaryota; Viridiplantae; Streptophyta; Magnoliopsida; Solanales; Solanaceae
Description: long non-coding RNA (NBEN_LNC031053)
Source: RNAcentral